This is a long non-coding RNA of Lonchura striata (white-rumped munia), 1130 nucleotides long. The record is from Ensembl. Lineage: Eukaryota; Metazoa; Chordata; Aves; Passeriformes; Estrildidae.
GAUGGCUAGUGCAAAAUUGUCUAUAUUUCAAAGCAGUAAUCUUUCUGAAAAUGUUUUUUAAGAUUCAAUUAGUAUGUAUAACAAAAUCAUAAUGAGCUCAAGAUGCAUCAGGAAGAUUCAUUAGCAUGGCAUACUUAAACUUCUGUGUCAUUUUGCCUGGAAUUUUAAGUUCUUUUACCAUCUGCCCUUUGUUCAACAGCUGUAUUAUUGCCGCUAAAAUGUUUUCAUCUGCCCUACAUUAAAGUUAUUUUAAAAUUAAGGACUACAGAUAGCUUUUGUCCUUGCUCUUCAUGUGAUAUUAUUGUCAUAUAAUAAAUAUAUCUGAAAACAUAAUUUGGAGUUUUUCAAGACAGGCUGAAAUAUUGUAAACGCUAAAAUUGCUUUUUUUAGGUACAACAACUAGAGAGAAGAUUCAAAGAUAUUGAAGGGGAAUUAAAGAAACAGAAAGAAGUAAAUAAAGACUCACUGAAUGAGAAAAUGUAUUUGAAAGAAUUUUUAAAAGUGCAAAAGGAAGAUUCAGACACAAGAAAAAGAGAGCUGGAAACACUAUUUAAGAGGAUUUGUGAGGUCAAAAAAGAAAAAGCAGAACUUCAUUUCAUGAUUGAUGAGAAGGAGAAAGAAGCUGCCUCUUAAGUAACAGAUGCUAACAGGUUGAGAAAUGAAAGUGAAGAUUUGCUGAGUCAAGUGCAGGAGCAGAAGUGUUUGUUGGAUAAAGCCAAAGCAGUAGUAAUUUCUGGGCAAUGUAAUUGCAAGAUAACAGGCACCAAGGUUAAAUUAAAAACAGCCAAGAAAAAGAGCUCUUUGGGACAUCAUGGAGCUUUUCUCAAACAGUCCAUCAAGGUUAUGAGUAAUGUGUUUGAGAACUUCAGUAAGGACGGCUGGGAGGAUGUGAGUGAAAGCAGUAACUCUGAAAUAACAACUUCUGAACGUUUGGAAACAGUGAUUAUGAAGACAGUGCAAAACAUUUAUCUACUGCCAGACAGAAGUACACAAGAAGAAAAAAAGCCCUGCAAUUUGCUUCAUUUAGAAGUCCAAAAUGAGCAACAUAAUAAAAAGGUAUAUAUUGUUUUGUUCUCCUGAGGGGAGUUUUGGAGUUUAAUAUUAGCACUGCUGCCCCUCUUAAUUAAUUU